GAUGAAGAACGCAGCGAAAUGCGAUAAGUAAUGUGAAUUGCAGAAUUCAGUGAAUCAUCGAAUCUUUGAACGCACAUUGCGCCCGCCAGUAUUCUGGCGGGCAUGCCUGUCUGAGCGUCAUUUCAACCCUCAGCCCCCGCUCGCGGGGCGCUGGCGUUGGGGAUCGGCCGUCCUUGCGGCGGCCGGCCCCGAAACACAGUGGCGGUCUCUCGCGGACUCCCCUGCGUAGUAGCACUACCUCGCAGAAGGGACGAGCGGGCUGACCACGCCGUAAAACCCCCCACUUCUCCAGGUUGACCUCAGAUCAGGUAGGAAUACCCGCUGAACUUAAGCAUAUCAAUAAGCGGAGGA
Molecule: unclassified non-coding RNA, 351 nt
Filed under: soil metagenome
Description: partial contains 5.8S ribosomal RNA, internal transcribed spacer 2, and large subunit ribosomal RNA
Rfam family: 5.8S ribosomal RNA (bases 1-120)
Source: RNAcentral